UCGAGAAUCUUUCGCAAUGGGCGCAAGCCUGACGAAGCGACGCCGUGUGAGCGAAGAAGGCCUUCGGGUUGUAAAGCUCUUUCGCUAGGGAACAAGAAAGGUGGGAUAAUACCCCGCUAAUUUGAUGGUACUUGGUAAAGAAGCACCGGCUAACUCCGUGCCAGCAGCUGCGGUAAUACGGAGGGUGCAAGCAUUGAUCGGAAUUACUGGGCGUAAAGGGCGCGUAGGCGGUCAGGAAAGUCAGAUGUGAAAUUCCGGAGCUCAACUCCGGAGCUGCAUUUGAAACUUCCUAUCUAGAGUACAGUUAGGGAAAACGGAAUUCCACGUGUAGCGGUGAAAUGCGUAGAUAUGUGGAAGAACACCAGUGGUGAAGACGGUUUUCUGGGCUGUUACUGACGCUGAGGCGCGAAAGCAAGGGGAGCAAACAGGAUUAGAUACCCCCGUAGUCC
This 449-nucleotide ribosomal RNA is filed under the name uncultured bacterium. RNAcentral describes it as "bacterial SSU rRNA". It matches the Rfam family "Bacterial small subunit ribosomal RNA", at positions 355 to 796 of the family's 1533-position model. The record is from RNAcentral.